UUCAACAACGGAUCUCUUGGCGCUGGCAUCGAUGAAGAACGCAGCGAAAUGCGAUAAGUAAUGUGAAUUGCAGAAUUCAGUGAAUCAUCGAAUCUUUGAACGCACAUUGCGCCCGCCAGUAUUCUGGCGGGCAUGCCUGUUCGAGCGUCAU
RNAcentral lists this ribosomal RNA (151 nucleotides) under uncultured Ascomycota. Its description in RNAcentral is "5.8S ribosomal RNA". It matches the Rfam family "5.8S ribosomal RNA". Rfam says of the family: 5.8S ribosomal RNA (5.8S rRNA) is a component of the large subunit of the eukaryotic ribosome. It is transcribed by RNA polymerase I as part of the 45S precursor that also contains 18S and 28S rRNA. Lineage: Eukaryota; Fungi; Ascomycota. The record is from RNAcentral.